UCCCUUAUCAGGCCCAGCGCUCAUCGGACUGCAAAUCCGAAUUUGGGUAUGAUUACCCCUGGGCUU
RNAcentral lists this transfer RNA (66 nucleotides) under Varanus jobiensis. RNAcentral's name for it is "tRNA-Cys". Lineage: Eukaryota; Metazoa; Chordata; Lepidosauria; Squamata; Varanidae. The record is from RNAcentral.